AAUGAACGCUGGCGGCGCGCCUAAUACAUGCAAGUCGAGCGAGAAGACGUAGCAAUACGUUUGUAAAGCGGCGAACGGGUGAGGAAUACAUGGGUAACCUACCCUAGAGUGGGGAAUAACUAGCCGAAAGGUUAGCUAAUACCGCGUACGCUCCUUGGACUUCGGUUCAGGGAGGAAAGCGAUACCGAGGGUAUCGCGCUCUUGGAUGGGCUCAUGUCCUAUCAGCUUGNGGUGAGGUAACGGCUCACCAAGGCUUCGACGGGUAGCUGGUCUGAGAGGACGAUCAGCCACACUGGCACUGCGACACGGGCCAGACUCCUACGGGAGGCAGCAGUAAGGAAUAUUGCGCAAUGGGCGAAAGCCUGACGCAGCGACGCCGCGUGGGGGAGU
This 390-nucleotide ribosomal RNA is filed under the name uncultured bacterium. Its description in RNAcentral is "bacterial SSU rRNA". It matches the Rfam family "Bacterial small subunit ribosomal RNA", at positions 29 to 410 of the family's 1533-position model. The record is from RNAcentral.